Molecule: transfer-messenger RNA, 395 nt
Filed under: bovine gut metagenome
Rfam family: transfer-messenger RNA
About the family: Bacterial tmRNA, also known as 10Sa RNA or SsrA, is named for its dual tRNA and mRNA-like properties.
Source: RNAcentral
GGGGAUGUUCUGGUUUUGACAGCAAAUGAUGUCGGAUGGUAAGCAUGCCGAGCAAGGCGUCCUGCGCUCGUUAAUCUUCGGACGCACGCCAUAACUGGCAACAACAACUAUGCACUCGCUGCGUAACCUACUGAGUACGUUACCUUAAUCGCCCGGACAAGGUCCGUUGCGACGAGUAUCCCGCAGGGGUUUAAGCCCGCUCUCCCCUGCCCCCGGGAUAUCAUCCAAGCGGGAUGCACGCACCGACUCCGCUACCGUGCGCCAAGAUUUCGCGGAUAAGGUCCGUAUGGCCCGCCUGCCGGCAGUACGGUCCCGACAAUCAAAGGCCGGAUAAGUAUGUAGAAAGCCCUCGGGCACGUUGUUUGGACGGCGGUUCGACUCCGCCCAUCUCCACA